CGAUUAACGACCCAGAGGAGGUUGUAUUCGGAGUUCGGCCCUUGCUGUGGAUAUCGACCAUACCUGAAGUUUACUGUGAACUCCAUAGGUAACAAUUUUUUCCAUCUAAAGCAACAGGUACUGCAGGUGUGGACAGCAUGAACAAUCCGUGAUUAACACAUUUAACUUAGAGAAAAGCCAGAUUGUCGCUUUAUUAAACACAAGGUACAGAAUACCAAGUUACAGAAGUAAGAGGCCUCCACAGAGUUGAAGUUAACAAGUUACAAAAUGCCAAGUUACAGAAGCCAGAAACCGCCACAGAUGUUAAAGUUAACCUCUUAAGGAAAGAUACCAGAGUUACAAAAUAUUAAGUUACAGAAGGCAGAGACCGCUGCAGAUGUUGAAGUUAACCUCUUGAGGAAAAGUUGAAGUUAACCUCUUGAGGAAAAGAUACCCAAGUUAGAAAAUGCCAAGUUACAGAAGCCAACUGCUACAGAUGUUAGUUAACCUCUGAAGGAAAAGAUACCCAAGUUAGAAAAUGCCAAGUUACAGAAGCCAGAGACCGCCACAGAUGUUUAAAAGUUAACCUCUUGAGGAAAAGAUACACAAGUUAGAAAAUGCCAAGUUACAGAAGCCAACUGCUACAAAUGCUAGUUAACCUCUGAAGGAAAAGAUACCCAAGUUUCAAAAUGCUAAGUUACAGAGGGCAGAGGCCGCCACAGAUGUUAAAGUUAAACUCUUGACGAAAAAAUACACAAGUUAUUGAAGCCAGAGACCGCUACAGAUGUUAAAUUUACCUCCAAGGAAAAUAUACUUGUGUAAUGAGGCUAAAUGCUUCCCAGUCAGUGUCUUUUUAAGACUGCGAAGCACACUGCACGCAGGUUUAGCUGCACUUUCUCAGAUUGCUUAUUUUGAAUGCGUAAUCGGUAUAAAUGCGUAGGACAGUUUUCUUUCUCUUAAUAUUCAAUCUGUAGAAUUUUCAGUCCAUUAAGUCUGUUGAUUUUUAAUAAAGCAUUAAUUUAUC
This is a long non-coding RNA of Macrobrachium nipponense, 1003 nucleotides long. RefSeq lists it as uncharacterized. Lineage: Eukaryota; Metazoa; Arthropoda; Malacostraca; Decapoda; Palaemonidae. The record is from RefSeq and is a predicted model, not a curated record. The transcript is spliced from 3 exons.